GGAUGAUUCUUCCAACCAGGGUUAUAGGUAUUCGAGUAUGGAUCAUUAUAAGGCUUUUGGUAGGAGUUCAUAGCAUUUGCUUGAUCGUGCAAGACUUCUUUGAAUGCCGGUAUGGUGGGACAAUCAGUAGUAGUAUGACCCGACAUAUCGCAGAUACCACAACACUCGUUUCUAAGCUCUAUAGUCUUGACAGGCUCAACCUUCCU
Molecule: long non-coding RNA, 206 nt
Filed under: Phoenix dactylifera (date palm)
Lineage: Eukaryota; Viridiplantae; Streptophyta; Magnoliopsida; Arecales; Arecaceae
Description: long non-coding RNA (PDAC_LNC009916)
Source: RNAcentral